RNAcentral lists this ribosomal RNA (1310 nucleotides) under uncultured fungus. Its description in RNAcentral is "eukaryotic LSU rRNA". The stretch from base 663 to 1310 matches the Rfam family "Eukaryotic large subunit ribosomal RNA", at positions 1 to 649 of the family's 3401-position model. Lineage: Eukaryota; Fungi. The record is from RNAcentral.
AAGUCGUAACAAGGUUUCCGUAGGUGAACCUGCGGAAGGAUCAUUAAUGAAUAAACUGGUGUUCUUCGGAACCCAAACCCCCUCAUUAUCCUUCUACCUGUGAACUGUCAUAGCGUGUUUGUGUGUUGCUUUUGCGACGCACAGACUUUGCUACAUCAAUUUUAUAUAAACAACGUCCAAAAAGAAUGUGAUUUUAUAAAUCAAAUUGUGUAAUGCAAUAUGAAAAUAACAAAAUACAACUUUUAGCAACGGAUCUCUUGGCUCUCGCAUCGAUGAAGAACGCAGCGAAUUGCGAUAAGUAAUGUGAAUUGCAGAAUUCAGUGAAUCAUCGAAUCUUUGAACGCACCUUGCACCCUUUGGUAUUCCGAAGGGUAUGCCUGUUUGAGUGUCUUGAAACUCUCAAAUCUUGUAUUUCCUAUUUUUUUGGGAAAUGCAGGCUAUUUUGGUCUUGAGCGUUUUUGCCAGUUUUAUUGUCACCGAUAUGAACUGGCUCGCUUUAAAUGAAUUAGCUGAGCUCUAUUGUAUAAACAGUCUCACACAAGCGUAAUACAUAUUUCGUUUGUUUUGUUGCUCCUUCACGAGAGCGCAAGGAUCGUUAGAACAACCAAGCUUGUGCUGCCUUAAUCUGCUCAUCGAAAGAUGUACCAUUUAACAUAUUCAUCAGACCUCAAAUCAGGUAGGACUACCCGCUGAACUUAAGCAUAUCAAUAAGCGGAGGAAAAGAAACUAACAAGGAUUCCCCUAGUAACGGCGAGUGAAGCGGGAAGAGCUCAAAUUUUAAAUCUCACAGUCUCAGAUUGUGCGAGUUGUAAACUAGAGAGGUAUUUUCGUGCUGGCCUGCGUACAAGUCUCUUGGAAUAGAGCGUCAUAGAGGGUGAGAAUCCCGUUCUUGACGUAGACAACCAGUGCAUUGUGAUAUACCUUCGAAGAGUCGAGUUGUUUGGGAAUGCAGCUCAAAAUGGGUGGUAAAUUCCAUCUAAAGCUAAAUAUUGGCGAGAGACCGAUAGCGAACAAGUACCGUGAGGGAAAGAUGAAAAGCACUUUGAAAAGAGAGUGAAAUAGUACGUGAAAUUGCUAAAAGGGAAACGCUUGAAGUCAGUCGCGCCUUGGGGGGUUUUUCCCCCCUCUGGCGGGUCAGCAUCAGUUUCGAUCGUUGGAUAAAGGCAGUUGGAAUGUAGCUUUUCGGAGUGUUAUAGCCUUCUGUCGCAUGCAACGGUUGGGACUGAGGAACGCAGCACGCCGUCGUUUACGUCGGUUGGUCUUCGGACACACACGUGCUUAGGAUGCUGGCAAAAUGGCUUUAAACGACC